UACGGAGGGAGCUAGCGUUGUUCGGAAUUACUGGGCGUAAAGCGCACGUAGGCGGCUUUUUAAGUCAGGGGUGAAAUCCCGGAGCUCAACUCCGGAACUGCACUUGAAACUGGGAAGCUAGAAUCUUGGAGAGGCGAGUGGAAUUCCGAGUGUAGAGGUGAAAUUCGUAGAUAUUCGGAAGAACACCAGUGGCGAAGGCGACUCGCUGGACAAGUAUUGACGCUGAGGUGCGAAAGCGUGGGGAGCAAACAGG
This 253-nucleotide ribosomal RNA is filed under the name uncultured bacterium. Its description in RNAcentral is "partial 16S ribosomal RNA". It matches the Rfam family "Bacterial small subunit ribosomal RNA", at positions 524 to 776 of the family's 1533-position model. The record is from RNAcentral.